Molecule: ribosomal RNA, 467 nt
Filed under: uncultured bacterium
Lineage: Bacteria
Description: partial 16S ribosomal RNA
Rfam family: Bacterial small subunit ribosomal RNA
Source: RNAcentral
GACGAACGCUGGCGGCGUGCUUAACACAUGCAAGUCGAACGGAAAGGCCUCUUUCGGGGGGUACUCGAGUGGCGAACGGGUGAGUAACACGUGAGUAACCUGCCCUUGACUUUGGGAUAACUUCAGGAAACUGGGGCUAAUACCGGAUAGGAGCUCCUGCCGCACGGUGGGGGUUGGAAAGUUUCGGCGGUUGGGGAUGGACUCGCGGCUUAUCAGCUUGUUGGUGGGGUAGUGGCUUACCAAGGCUUUGACGGGUAGCCGGCCUGAGAGGGUGACCGGCCACAUUGGGACUGAGAUACGGCCCAGACGCCUACGGGAGGCAGCAGUGGGGAAUAUUGCACAAUGGGUGGAAGCCUGAUGCAGCAACGCCGUGUGCGGGAUGACGGCCUUCGGGUUGUAAACCGCUUUCGCUCAUGACGAAGCUUUGUGUGACGGUAGUGGGUAAAGAAGCACCGGCUAACUACGUG